GCUGUUAAGGGUUCGUAGUUGAACUGGGGGUUGUCAAGGAAACGACAAAGUCCUCUUCCCUGUGAAGUGCGACCGUCGCUCUUACAACUCGUGAACAUUAGAAACAGAAUCCACGGGAUUGGACCUCCCUUCAUCUCGCAUGCAAUGCAUGCCGGGGGGCGCCCGUGAAACUUACUGUGCAAAAGAAGUGCGACCAAAGCAGUCAAACGACAUGAAUUAGAAAGCAUGGGAUAACAAGGAGCAACCUGCGGAUUACCGUUUCGGCUUUUGUUGGUUUUAAAGGUCUGUGGGAGACUUGGGUUGUUGUGAACAAGCGUUUCGGGCUCAGUCCCGGCGUUUUCUGCCCAACCCACGUGGUUGCGGUGGCACGGCCGCCCAGGAAUGAAGGAGGGUUGUUCGGGGGAGAACGUACUUGACGUGAGAGGUGAAAUUCUUAGACCGUUCAAAGACGAACUACAGCGAAGGCAUUCUCCAGGAUACCUUCCUCAAUCAAGAACCGGAGUGUGGAGAUCGAAGAUGAUUAGAUACCAUUGUGUGC
Molecule: ribosomal RNA, 538 nt
Filed under: uncultured kinetoplastid
Lineage: Eukaryota; Euglenozoa; Kinetoplastea
Description: bacterial SSU rRNA
Rfam family: Eukaryotic small subunit ribosomal RNA
Source: RNAcentral